GCGCUAGGUGGGGAGUCAGCGGUGCCCUGUAUCUGCAAUCCGCUAUAGCAGAACCGAACGCUUUCCUCGGCUUUACUUGUGGAAGGCUGCGGGCUUGUAAAAACGUUGAUACCAAGGUCUUAUGCAACGGACUGCUGUGAAAUGUGUCAGGACAGGGAUGUAGCAGCACUAAGCGGAUUUGUUCGUGUGCCAUAGGGUUGCUUUGGAGUAGUUGUCUG
RNAcentral lists this signal recognition particle RNA (218 nucleotides) under bovine gut metagenome. Its description in RNAcentral is "Bacterial large signal recognition particle RNA". It matches the Rfam family "Bacterial large signal recognition particle RNA", at positions 3 to 219 of the family's 256-position model. Rfam says of the family: The signal recognition particle (SRP) is a universally conserved ribonucleoprotein involved in the co-translational targeting of proteins to membranes. The record is from RNAcentral.